RNAcentral lists this ribosomal RNA (253 nucleotides) under uncultured bacterium. RNAcentral's name for it is "partial 16S ribosomal RNA". It matches the Rfam family "Bacterial small subunit ribosomal RNA", at positions 524 to 776 of the family's 1533-position model. The record is from RNAcentral.
UACGGAGGGUGCGAGCGUUGUCCGGAAUCACUGGGCGUAAAGGGCGCGUAGGCGGCGCGGAUAGUCGGCGGUGAAAGCCCGGAGCUCAACUCCGGGUCGGCCGUCGAUACUUCCGGGCUUGAGCACUGUAGAGGCAGAUGGAAUUCCGGGUGUAGCGGUGGAAUGCGUAGAGAUCCGGAGGAACACCAGUGGCGAAGGCGACUUUCUGGCCUGUUCUUGACGCUGAGGCGCGAAAGCUAGGGGAGCAAACGGG